ACCGUGAGGGAAAGGUGAAAAGAACCCCGGGAGGGGAGUGAAAUAGAACAUGAAACCAUAAACUUACAAGCAGUAGGAGGACGACUUAACGUCUGACUGCGUGCCUGUUGAAGAAUGAGCCGGCGACUUAUAGGCACUGGCGGGUUAAAUGUAGGAGCCAUAGCGAAAGCGAGUCUGAAUAGGGCGUUUGUCAUUGUUUAUAGACCCGAACCCGGAUGAUCUAACCAUGGUCAGGAUGAAGCUUAGGUAAAAUCAAGUGGAGGUCCGAACCGACUGAUGUUGAAAAAUCAGCGGAUGAAUUGUGGUUAGGGGUGAAAUGCCAAUCGAAUCCGGAGCUAGCUGGUUCUCCCCGAAAUGCGUUUUGGCGCAGCGGUAAAUGUUAUAAUCUAGGGGUAAAGCACUGUUACGUAUGCGGGCUGGUAAUUCGGUACCAAAUCGUUGCAAACUAAGAAUACUAAGUGAACAGUUUAUCAGUGAGACUGUGGGGGAUAAGCUCCAUUGUCAAGAGGGAAACAGCCCAGAGCACCAGUUAAGGCCCUUAAAUAAUUACUAAGUGAUAAAGGAAGUGGGAUUGCAUAAACAAUCAGGAGGUUUGCUUAGAAGCAGCAAUCCUUUAAAGAGUGCGUAAUAGCUCACUGAUCGAGUAAACCUGCGCCGAAAAUGAACGGGACUAAGUAAUUUGCCGAAACUGUGCGAUAUAUAAAUAUAUAUAUCGGUAGGGGAGCGUUCUGUUUUAGGUAGAAGUAUUAGCGUAAGCGGGUAUGGACGAAGCAGAAGUGAGAAUGUCGGCUUGAGUAACGAAAAUAUAGGUGAGAAUCCUAUACCCCGAAAACCCAAGGUUUCCUCCGGAAGGCUCGUCCGCGGAGGGUAAGUCAGGACCUAAGGCGAGACUGAAAAGUGUAGUCGAUGGACAACGGGUUAAUAUUCCCGUACCAUUUUUCAUUGAUAUCGAGGGACGGAGAAGGCUAAGCUAGCCGGAUAUUGGUUACCGGUUUAAACGUUCAAGAUGUUGAGAGGUGGAGAAAACACCUUGAGUUGAGGCGUGAAUACGAGAUGCUAAGGCGUCGAAGUAGUGUAUGUCAGACUUCCAAGAAAAGCUUGCACUGUCAUAAAUAAAAAAUGCCUGUACCAUAACCGACACAGGUGGGUAGGUAGAGUAUACUAAGGGGCGCGAGAUAACUCUCUCUAAGGAACUCGGCAAAAUAGCCUCGUAACUUCGGGAGAAGAGGUACCCUUUAUGGGUUGCAAGAACCAGACGCUGGCGACUGUUUACCAAAAACACAGGUCUCCGCAAAGUCGUAAGACGAUGUAUGGGGGCUGACACCUGCCCAGUGCCGGAAGGUUAAGGAAGCUUGUUAGUCUUUGACGAAGCUCGCGACCGAAGCCCCGGUGAACGGCGGCCGUAACUAUAACGGUCCUAAGGUAGCGAAAUUCCUUGUCGGGUAAGUUCCGACCCGCACGAAAGGUGUAACGAUCUG
This 1478-nucleotide ribosomal RNA is filed under the name marine metagenome. RNAcentral's name for it is "bacterial LSU rRNA". It matches the Rfam family "Bacterial large subunit ribosomal RNA", at positions 500 to 2011 of the family's 2925-position model. The record is from RNAcentral.